This 253-nucleotide ribosomal RNA is filed under the name uncultured bacterium. Its description in RNAcentral is "partial 16S ribosomal RNA". It matches the Rfam family "Bacterial small subunit ribosomal RNA", at positions 524 to 776 of the family's 1533-position model. The record is from RNAcentral.
UACGUAGGGUGCAAGCGUUAAUCGGAAUUACUGGGCGUAAAGCGUGCGCAGGCGGUUUUGCAAGACAGAUGUGAAAUCCCCGGGCUCAACCUGGGAACUGCAUUUGUGACUGCAAGGCUAGAGUACGGCAGAGGGGGAUGGAAUUCCGCGUGUAGCAGUGAAAUGCGUAGAUAUGCGGAAGAACACCAGUGGCGAAGGCGGCUCACUGGUCCGGUACUGACGCUGAGGUGCGAAAGCGUGGGGAGCAAACAGG